Molecule: ribosomal RNA, 82 nt
Filed under: Listeria monocytogenes
Lineage: Bacteria; Bacillati; Bacillota; Bacilli; Caryophanales; Listeriaceae
Source: RNAcentral
CCUUCCCGACCCCGGUAGUUAAGCUUCUCUGCGCCAAUGGUAGUUGGGGGCUUCCCCCUGCGAGAGUAGGUCGCUGCCGGGC